Nyctereutes procyonoides (raccoon dog) is the source of this 3614-nucleotide RNA transcript. It is a transcript of the gene named ATCAY kinesin light chain interacting caytaxin, with no coding region annotated. NCBI's taxonomy places the organism in Eukaryota, Metazoa, Chordata, Mammalia, Carnivora, Canidae. The record is from RefSeq and is a predicted model, not a curated record. The transcript is spliced from 13 exons.
GAGGGUGGCAGGGGCAGGCGACCACCGACUGCGUCCGCCCCCCGCCCCUGGACAAGAGCAGCCCCUCUGCGCCGCCUCGCUGCUCCGGGUGACCUUCCCUGGGUGCAGAGUCCGCCCCAGCGCCCGCCGCCCUCCGAUGCUCUGAAGGCCCCGGGGCUGCGCUCGGAAGGCCGGGGAUGUCCGGCUGCAUCGGCGCGGGGCUCGCCUUUGUUUGCGCGUAACUGGCAGAGGCCGCCGAGGAUUCAUCUCUGCCGCAAGCCAGCGCCUCUCCUCGGCUCUCAUGGGGACCACGGAAGCCACGCUCCGGAUGGAAAACGUGGAUGUGAAGGAAGAAUGGCAGGACGAAGCUCUUCCCAGGCCGCUCCCGGAAGAGACAGGGAUGGACCCGCUUGGCAGCCCCACGGAAGACACGUCCUCCCCUCCCAACGCCUUGAACUUCAACGGAGCUCAUCGCAAGCGGAAGACGCUGGUCGCCCCGGAGAUCAACAUUUCCCUGGAUCAGAGCGAGGGCUCCCUGCUGUCUGACGACUUCCUGGACACCCCCGAUGACCUGGACAUCAACGUGGAUGACAUCGAGACCCCCGACGAGACCGACUCGCUGGAGUUCCUGGGGAACGGCAACGAGCUGGAGUGGGAAGAUGACACCCCCGUGGCCGCCGCCAAGAACAUGCCCGGGGACAGCGCGGACCUGUUUGGGGACGGCGCCGCGGAGGAUGGUGGUGCCGCCAAUGGGCGCCUGUGGAGGACGGUGAUCAUCGGAGAACAAGAACACCGAAUCGACCUGCACAUGAUCCGGCCCUACAUGAGGGUAGUGACCCACGGAGGGUACUACGGCGAAGGUCUCAACGCCAUCAUCGUGUUUGCUGCCUGCUUCCUCCCGGACAGCAGCUCCCCCGACUACCACUACAUCAUGGAGAACCUCUUCCUGUACGUCAUCAGCAGUCUGGAACUGCUCGUGGCGGAGGAUUACAUGAUCGUGUACCUGAACGGGGCCACCCCCCGGCGGAGGAUGCCCGGCAUCGGCUGGCUGAAGAAGUGCUACCAGAUGAUCGACAGGAGAUUGCGGAAAAACCUGAAGUCCCUCAUCAUCGUGCACCCGUCCUGGUUCAUCCGCACCGUGCUGGCUAUCUCCCGGCCCUUUAUCAGCGCCCCCUCCGGGCCCGGACUUCAGGCGUCUGCCCCCCUCUCCUCCCGCCAGCGUCAAAUUCAUCAACAAGAUCCAGUAUGUGCACAGCUUGGAGGAUCUGGAGCAGCUCAUCCCCAUGGAACACGUGCAGAUCCCAGACUGCGUGCUGCAGUACGAGGAGGAAAGGCUCAAGGCCCGGAGAGAGAGCACCAGACCGCAGCCAGAGUUCGUCCUGCCCCGGUCUGAUGAGAAGCCAGAGGCCGCGUCGGCGGAGGACAGGUCGGCUCUGGCCACAGAAGAUCAGGAAACAAGCAUGUCCUGAGGUGACAAGAAUGCAGAGAAGAACAAGAAAGAAGAUUCCAGAUGCCAAGAAACCUCUGUCAGACGCCCUCUGGCCCUGGACCUCAACCCUGCCUCGCCCUGAGUCCCCGUCUUCGGGGUGGGGGUGUGUGUGCCAGUCCCCUCCAUCCAUCUCUGAAACCCAGCAUCCUUUUUAGCUGCUUGGAAGCCUUUUUGUUUUGUUUUUUAUUAUUUAAACAGCGCAGUAUUCAUGUGUUCCAGAAGGGGCCCUGGUUCUCAGCCCUCCACCCCUCCACACUCAUGAGCUCAUGGCCAGGACGAGCGAGCGGCUCAGGGCAUGGCCCGUGUGUCCUGGACGGCUUCAGAGACCCCUCCCACUGUGCCAAGUCCUGGUUCGAGACCCUUCUGUUGUUUGUCACCUGGCCCACGUUGGAGCCACCGAUGCCCACCAGCUCCCUGGCCGGAUCUGGAUUCGUUCUUGUGCCUUUUCUCCUAGAACAUCCCCUGCAGCUCUGGGCAUGUGGCCUGGAAGCUCAGCCGCCCAGCAGGGCCGUGCCCCAGGGACCUCCCAGCCUUCCAUUUGACCAGCUCCCUUCAUCUCUUGUGACACCCGCCGUCUCUAGGGGCAUCGGAACCCACAGCACACAAGUGCGCUGCCGAUAACCAUCCCUGCCCUGCAGUUACAAAGCCGCCCCUCCCAAUCUAGAACAUUCUCGAGCCCCUUUAACGUGGAUGCCACCGCAGGGCAAUCCUGAUCAAUCAAUACCUCCUACUGAGGGAAUGAAGUCUCCUCACUUUCCUGAUCCCCCUCCGCAAUCAAUGCAGGGUUGGGAUGCACCCCUCAAGUUCCCCCCUAGGGGACCCGGCUCCGAACUGCGUGAAGGAAGAUACAGGGUACUGCAGAUUUGAGUAUUUCGAAGUUCACUUGGGAGAGCACAUCCUCGUGGCCCGGACGCUGUGGGGACCUGCCGUCAAAGGGGGCAAACUGACCUUGGACAAAAGACAGACUUUCCUAAUGCAGCCCAAACCCAGGGCUGGCCAGGUUGGCCUCUAGAGGUAGUGAGUUCCCCACCGGUGGAGGCAUUUAAGAAAAGGCUGGCAAGUGCUUACAAAAUGUGGCCCUCUGUGGUCCCCUCCAGUCCUAAGAGUCUCUAUUUAUAUAAACCUGAGCAGAACUGGGAUGGACGCCUUCCCCCGGCCCCUCCUAUGGCUCCGCAGCGGGCUUCUUAGCCGUGGAGAUCGUGAGUGUGGGGUUCCUGGCCCCGGGGGAAAUGUCAGAUGCCUCUCAGCCUGGGACCUCAGGUGUUUGGGAGGGGCCAGCGGUGUUUGGUGCCGCGCACGUUGCUGCGUGGGAGGGGGUCCUGCAUGUCACGGGCCGCUCCCACCCCCAACACCGGAGGCUCCUGCCUUGGGGAACGCGGGGUUUCUGAGCGCUCCUGCGCCUGGAUCCCCGGGACACCUGGGGGCGGGGGGGCUCUUAAGUGUGUGUUUCUGCCGCGUUUCCCGAAUGUCGAGUGAAGGACAGGCCCGUGGCCCGGGCCUGGUGACCGUGUGUCACCUGGAGCCCGAGGCAGCGGAGGCUGGCAGGCGCCGGGUGUGAGCCGAGGGCUGGGACCGUGCGGGCUGCCCGGUGCCAGGGAGGCGACAGAGGGAGAGUAAGCGGCAGACCGCAGCCCCAGAGGAGCCCGCAGCUGCACGGGGACCCCCGGCUGGCCCGCCGCCCUCGGACCACCAGCAGCCACAGACCCCGGCAAGCGGGACCCAGGACCCUGGCUCGGCCGCGGCAGCCCCUCCAGAAUAAAGAGGGACCCCGCGGUGGGGGGCGCUGUCCCCAGGCGCACAGCUCCGUCCCCACGGCGCCACCGCGUCCAGGCCAGCCGCUGCCCGCACUCAGAGCGCCUUUGUGCAAGGCGUGCGUCCCGGGGCGGUCGCAGCCAAAAUGCAACGGACCCCAGGCCUCGUGGGAAAGGGACCCCAGGUUUUCCUCCCAUGACACGUGGGAUGUGUCCCAGGUCGUAGCUCACACGUCCAUCCUCACCACGGCGAGUUUUGUGGUUUUUAAAAAAAGAAACCCUUCAUUAUGAUUACUGUCGUGAUGUUCAGACAUCAUCUCCAUGAGCUUUGGGGGAUUUUUAUGUGGAAAUAAAUACGCGAUAACUGAGAAGGGAGGUCUGUUCCUUUUGUCCAC